UUAAGUUAUUAAGGGCGCACGGUGGAUGCCUUGGCACUAGAAGCCGAUGAAGGACGUUACUAACGACGAUAUGCUUUGGGGAGCUGUAAGUAAGCUUUGAUCCAGAGAUUUCCGAAUGGGGAAACCCAGCAUGAGUUAUGUCAUGUUAUCGAUAUGUGAAUACAUAGCAUAUCAGAAGGCACACCCGGAGAACUGAAACAUCUUAGUACCCGGAGGAAGAGAAAGAAAAUUCGAUUCCCUUAGUAGCGGCGAGCGAAACGGGAAGAGCCCAAACCAACAAGCUUGCUUGUUGGGGUUGUAGGACACUCUAUACGGAGUUACAAAGGACGACAUUAGACGAAUCAUCUGGAAAGAUGAAUCAAAGAAGGUAAUAAUCCUGUAGUCGAAAAUGUUGUCUCUCUUGAGUGGAUCCUGAGUACGACGGAGCACGUGAAAUUCCGUUGGAAUCUGGGAGGACCAUCUCCUAAGGCUAAAUACUCUCUAGUGACCGAUAGUGAACCAGUACCGUGAGGGAAAGGUGAAAAGCACCCCGGAAGGGGAGUGAAAUAGAACCUGAAACCGUGUGCUUACAAGUAGUCAGAGCCCGUUAAUGGGUGAUGGCGUGCCUUUUGUAGAAUGAACCGGCGAGUUACGAUUUGAUGCAAGGUUAAGCAGUAAAUGUGGAGCCGUAGCGAAAGCGAGUCUGAAUAGGGCGUUUAGUAUUUGGUCGUAGACCCGAAACCAGGUGAUCUACCCUUGGUCAGGUUGAAGUUCAGGUAACACUGAAUGGAGGACCGAACCGACUUACGUUGAAAAGUGAGCGGAUGAACUGAGGGUAGCGGAGAAAUUCCAAUCGAACCUGGAGAUAGCUGGUUCUCUCCGAAAUAGCUUUAGGGCUAGCCUCAAGUGAUGAUUAUUGGAGGUAGAGCACUGUUUGGACGAGGGGCCCCUCUCGGGUUACCGAAUUCAGACAAACUCCGAAUGCCAAUUAAUUUAACUUGGGAGUCAGAACAUGGGUGAUAAGGUCCGUGUUCGAAAGGGAAACAGCCCAGACCACCAGCUAAGGUCCCAAAAUAUAUGUUAAGUGGAAAAGGAUGUGGCGUUGCCCAGACAACUAGGAUGUUGGCUUAGAAGCAGCCAUCAUUUAAAGAGUGCGUAAUAGCUCACUAGUCGAGUGACACUGCGCCGAAAAUGUACCGGGGCUAAACAUAUUACCGAAGCUGUGGAUUGUCCUUUGGACAAUGGUAGGAGAGCGUUCUAAGGGCGUUGAAGCAUGAUCGUAAGGACAUGUGGAGCGCUUAGAAGUGAGAAUGCCGGUGUGAGUAGCGAAAGACGGGUGAGAAUCCCGUCCACCGAUUGACUAAGGUUUCCAGAGGAAGGCUCGUCCGCUCUGGGUUAGUCGGGUCCUAAGCUGAGGCCGACAGGCGUAGGCGAUGGAUAACAGGUUGAUAUUCCUGUACCACCUAUAAUCGUUUUAAUCGAUGGGGGGACGCAGUAGGAUAGGCGAAGCGUGCGAUUGGAUUGCACGUCUAAGCAGUAAGGCUGAGUAUUAGGCAAAUCCGGUACUCAUUAAGGCUGAGCUGUGAUGGGGAGAAGACAUUGUGUCUUCGAGUCGUUGAUUUCACACUGCCGAGAAAAGCCUCUAGAUAGAAAAUAGGUGCCCGUACCGCAAACCGACACAGGUAGUCAAGAUGAGAAUUCUAAGGUGAGCGAGCGAACUCUCGUUAAGGAACUCGGCAAAAUGACCCCGUAACUUCGGGAGAAGGGGUGCUCUUUAGGGUUAACGCCCAGAAGAGCCGCAGUGAAUAGGCCCAAGCGACUGUUUAUCAAAAACACAGGUCUCUGCUAAACCGUAAGGUGAUGUAUAGGGGCUGACGCCUGCCCGGUGCUGGAAGGUUAAGAGGAGUGGUUAGCUUCUGCGAAGCUACGAAUCGAAGCCCCAGUAAACGGCGGCCGUAACUAUAACGGUCCUAAGGUAGCGAAAUUCCUUGUCGGGUAAGUUCCGACCCGCACGAAAGGCGUAACGAUUUGGGCACUGUCUCAACGAGAGACUCGGUGAAAUCAUAGUACCUGUGAAGAUGCAGGUUACCCGCGACAGGACGGAAAGACCCCGUGGAGCUUUACUGUAGCCUGAUAUUGAAAUUCGGCACAGCUUGUACAGGAUAGGUAGGAGCCUUUGAAACGUGAGCGCUAGCUUACGUGGAGGCGCUGGUGGGAUACUACCCUAGCUGUGUUGGCUUUCUAACCCGCACCACUUAUCGUGGUG
Molecule: ribosomal RNA, 2245 nt
Filed under: Staphylococcus aureus 56824-10
Lineage: Bacteria; Bacillati; Bacillota; Bacilli; Caryophanales; Staphylococcaceae
Description: bacterial LSU rRNA
Rfam family: Bacterial large subunit ribosomal RNA
Source: RNAcentral